This 253-nucleotide ribosomal RNA is filed under the name uncultured bacterium. Its description in RNAcentral is "partial 16S ribosomal RNA". It matches the Rfam family "Bacterial small subunit ribosomal RNA", at positions 524 to 776 of the family's 1533-position model. The record is from RNAcentral.
UACGAAGGGGGCUAGCGUUGUUCGGAAUUACUGGGCGUAAAGGGCGCGUAGGCGGUGUGUCAAGUCAGGCGUGAAAGCCCCGGGCUCAACCUGGGAAUUGCGUUCGAUACUGGAUAGCUAGAGUUCGGCAGAGGGAAGCGGAAUUUCCGGUGUAGCGGUGAAAUGCGUAGAUAUCGGAAGGAACAUCAGUGGCGAAAGCGGCCUCCUGGACCAGAACUGACGAUCAGGCACGAAAGCGUGGGGAGCAAACAGG